Molecule: long non-coding RNA, 875 nt
Filed under: Homo sapiens (human)
Lineage: Eukaryota; Metazoa; Chordata; Mammalia; Primates; Hominidae
Description: HSALNT0327771
Source: RNAcentral
GCGUCGUCCCAGACACCCGAUGUUACAAGACCGUUAUAAAAAGUCUCAUUUUCACUGUUCUUCGUGCCUCUAAGUCCAUUCUUUGGGUUUGAACGGGUGAGUGUGUUUCUCACAACCUGAGGGCCCGUUCGGGAUCUCUGUGCCUACGUGGAGUGGGACUCCGGCUGAGAGAAGAGACAUGUCCCACCCGAUUUUUGUGCCCCACUCUGUCUGGGUGUCCUGGCUCCCCACAGAAGCCAUAGAUAAACCCGAGACUGUUAUUCAGGAGACGGUGGAGGUGACGCAGGGAGAAAAGCAGGCACUGCGGCAAACAGGCAACCUCGUGCACCAGCCAAGGUUGGGUAUUUCCUUCAGCCUAUUAAAGGAAUUGGGAACCUGUGGUACCUUCCUUUGAGUGUCACGGGAGUACCAUCUCUUUACCUUGGCAAGAGCAGAUCCUUCAUAUCUGUAGUUGAAUCACACACUCUCAGAUAUCUGAGCUUGAAUUCUACAGGGACACUUAUCUCAGCUUUUGAGUUUUAGGAGAAAUAGCCUGCAGACCAGAGAAUAAGGAAAAGUUGUUUCCUGCCAAAGAACAAGCAGUAUUGUGAAAUAUAAAAUUUUAUUGUUGCGGUGAAAGAAAAUUUCAGUAUCAAAUUUUUGAAAACACCAUGUAAGAGAUGCCUGCUUUCCCUUCACCUUCCGGCAUGAUUGUAAGUUUCCUGAGGCCUCUCCAGACAUGCUUCCUGUACAGCCUGUAGAACUAUUCUGACACCUCCACUUCACACAAAACACUCCACUUUAGAGUUCCUUGGCCCCUUAAAGAAGUGCCUGCUUCUCCUUUGCCUUCCACCAUGAUGUUAAGUUUCCUGAAGCCUCCCCACCAAAGCAGAACU